This is a non-coding RNA of Acanthosepion pharaonis, 100 nucleotides long. NCBI's taxonomy places the organism in Eukaryota, Metazoa, Mollusca, Cephalopoda, Sepiida, Sepiidae. The record is from the annotation of a GenBank genome assembly.
CGCUGAGACACUGGUUUCCAUAGAAUCACUGAAGUUAAGCCACGUCUAGUCUGGUCAGUACUUAGAUGGGUGUCCGUUUGAGAAUAUCAGGUGCUGUAAG